This 253-nucleotide ribosomal RNA is filed under the name uncultured bacterium. Its description in RNAcentral is "partial 16S ribosomal RNA". It matches the Rfam family "Bacterial small subunit ribosomal RNA", at positions 524 to 776 of the family's 1533-position model. The record is from RNAcentral.
UACGGAGGGUGCAAGCGUUAUCCGGAUUCACUGGGUUUAAAGGGUGUGUAGGCGGGUCUUUAAGUCAGUGGUGAAAUCUCCGAGCUUAACUUGGAAACUGCCAUUGAUACUAUUGAUCUUGAAUUUUGUUGAGGUAGGCGGAAUAUGUCAUGUAGCGGUGAAAUGCAUAGAUAUGACAUAGAACACCAAUUGCGAAGGCAGCUUACUACACAGUUAUUGACGCUGAGGCACGAAAGCGUGGGGAUCAAACAGG